RNAcentral lists this ribosomal RNA (261 nucleotides) under uncultured prokaryote. RNAcentral describes it as "partial 16S ribosomal RNA". It matches the Rfam family "Bacterial small subunit ribosomal RNA", at positions 524 to 784 of the family's 1533-position model. The record is from RNAcentral.
UACGUAGGGGGCAAGCGUUAUCCGGAUUUACUGGGUGUAAAGGGAGCGUAGACGGCGAUGCAAGUCAGAUGUGAAAACCCAUGGCUCAACCAUGGGAUUGCAUUUGAAACUGUGUUGCUAGAGUGCAGGAGAGGUAAGCGGAAUUCCUGGUGUAGCGGUGAAAUGCGUAGAUAUCAGGAGGAACACCGGUGGCGAAGGCGGCUUACUAGACUGUAACUGACGUUGAGGCUCGAAGGCGCGGGUAGCAAACAGGAUUAGAUA